Drosophila melanogaster (fruit fly) is the source of this 285-nucleotide non-coding RNA. Lineage: Eukaryota; Metazoa; Arthropoda; Insecta; Diptera; Drosophilidae. The record is from Ensembl.
UUAUUCGGCGCACUCACCUGCACAAAGCUAUCGAACACUUGAAGCUGAAAGCCGAAUCCUUUUGUUCCACUGACAGGCGCCUGGAAAUAGAGCUACAAAUCCACACACACUCACACACACCCAUAGAGACCCGCAUCGAAAAUGCGUUUCCAUUAACUUUUUCGGUUCGAGAUCACCGAAGCGCAUGAAGAUGUCAAAAUGCACUUUUGCCCCCAUUCACGCAAGACGUAAAGUAUUAAGUUGUUCGCUCCAGUACGAGCUACCGAAUAUAAAGUUGCCAGGAAU